GUGCACCAGGCGCGAAUACUCCGCAAUGCUCGAAAGAGUGACGGGGGAUUCCAAGUGCCUACGCUCAGCGUAGGCUGUUCAGAUGCCUAAAAAGCAUCUGGAGUAAGGGCUGGGUAAGACGGGUGCCAGCCGCCGCGGUAAUACCCGCAGCUCGAGUGGUAGUCGAUUUUAGUUGGGCCUAAAGCGUCCGUAUCCGGUCUGGUAAAUGCUUGGGUAAAUCGUGGGGCUCAACCCUACGAAUUCCGGGUAGACUGCCAGACUUGGGACCGGUUGAGGAAGAGGGUACUUCAGGGGUAGGAGUGAAAAUCCUGUAAUCCUUGAAGGACCACCAGUGGCGAAGGCGCUCUUCUAGGACGGGUCCGACGGUGAGGGACGAAAGCCAGGGGAGCAAAACCGGGAUUAGAUACCCGCGUAGU
This 416-nucleotide ribosomal RNA is filed under the name uncultured microorganism. RNAcentral's name for it is "bacterial SSU rRNA". It matches the Rfam family "Archaeal small subunit ribosomal RNA", at positions 330 to 745 of the family's 1478-position model. The record is from RNAcentral.